GGGGGGAGCAAGCGUUGUUCGGAUUUACUGGGCGUAAAGGGCGCGUAGGCGGUCAGCACAAGUCAGUUGUGAAAUCUCCGGGCUUAACUCGGAAAGGUCAACUGAUACUGUGCGACUAGAGUGCGGAAGGGGCAACUGGAAUUCUCGGUGUAGCGGUGAAAUGCGUAGAUAUCGAGAGGAACACCUGCGGCGAAGGCGGGUUGCUGGGCCGACACUGACGCUGAGGCGCGAAAGCCAGGGGAGCGAACGGGAUUAGAUACCCCGGUAGUCCUGGCCUUAAACGAUGGAUGCUUGGUGUCUGGGGUUUUAUAGUCCCCGGGUGCCGCAGCUAACGCGUUAAGCAUCCCGCCUGGGGAGUACGGUCGCAAGACUG
Molecule: ribosomal RNA, 373 nt
Filed under: uncultured bacterium
Lineage: Bacteria
Description: bacterial SSU rRNA
Rfam family: Bacterial small subunit ribosomal RNA
Source: RNAcentral